RNAcentral lists this ribosomal RNA (524 nucleotides) under uncultured bacterium. RNAcentral's name for it is "bacterial SSU rRNA". It matches the Rfam family "Bacterial small subunit ribosomal RNA", at positions 26 to 518 of the family's 1533-position model. The record is from RNAcentral.
AGGACGAACGCUGGCGGCGUGCCUAAUACAUGCAAGUCGAGCGCGGGAAGCAAACUGAAGCCUUCGGGCGGACGUUGUGGAACGAGCGGCGGAUGGGUGAGUAACACGUGGGCAACCUGCCUGUAAGAUUGGGAUAACUUGCGGAAACGUGAGCUAAUACCAAAUAAAGCUUUUCAUCCCCUGAUGAGAAGAUGAAAGAUGGCUCCGGCUAUCACUUACAGAUGGGCCCGUGGCGCAUUAGCUAGUUGGUGGGAUAAAAGCUUACCAAGGCAACGAUGCGUAGCCGACCUGAGAGGGUGAUCGGCCACACUGGGACUGAGACACGGCCCAGACUCCUACGGGAGGCAGCAGUAGGGAAUCUUCCGCAAUGGACGCAAGUCUGACGGAGCCAACGCCGCGUGAGUGAUGAAGGUUUUCGGAUCGUAAAACUCUGUUGUUAGGGAAGAACAAGUACCGUUCGAAUAGGUCGGUACCUUGACGGUACCUAACCAGAAAGCCCCGGCUAACUACGUGCCAGCCGCUGC